This is a long non-coding RNA of Carassius gibelio (silver crucian carp), 1041 nucleotides long. RefSeq lists it as uncharacterized. The record is from RefSeq and is a predicted model, not a curated record. The transcript is spliced from 3 exons. NCBI's taxonomy places the organism in Eukaryota, Metazoa, Chordata, Actinopteri, Cypriniformes, Cyprinidae.
UGUGAGCUGCUGCUCGUUAUAACUGACUGCUCUAUCGGUCCCGAAUUAUUUCAUAUUUGCCUGUACAUUUUUUAUUUAUUUUGAGCGAAUUUGAGUCGUGACAUGUCAAUGGAGAACAAAAACUGUGAACACAAGAAGGGUCAGGUGUUCUGCGAGGUCCUGAAAACAUCCUGGCAAAAUGAGAGUCAUCAAGGAUCCAGCUUGUUCUUGAAACAUUGAAGUUUGCCCUCUGCAAGUGAACGACGCCUUGUGGUGCCAUCCCAAAGAGGUUCAAAAUCACUCUCACGGUCCUUUUCCUGGACUGUGCCCAGCUGCUGGAAUCACCUCCCAAUCUCAAUCCGAACUGCUGAGUCUUUACUCAUUUUCAAGAAACAUUUUAAGACUCAUCUUUUUCACCGGAACUUAACCAACUAAUGCUAGCACUUUUCCUUCUUUUCUUGUCUUUCAUAUUAAAAAAAAAAAAAAAAAAAAAAACCUGGCUAUGCGUUCUGUACUAGACUAACUGAGACUUGUCAUGGCACUUGUAUACUGUUGUUGUUCGCUUGUACACCUGACUGCUUCUGUUAUUCUCAUUUGUAAGUGGCUUUGGAUAAAAGCAUCUGUUAAAUGAUUAAAUGUAAAUGUUUAUACAGGACGGUACAGAAAGUGCACAAGUGGGAGAGAGUGGAGGGGACGGCGUCAGAAAGGACCUAGCGCUGGGACACUUUCAAGGAUCACCCGAAGCACAACCACACUGUAUACACUAAGGCUGCUGGUUCUAACAUUUUAGAGUGCCCUGCGGUAGAAAUCUCAUUCUGCAUUCCCCACGGUAAAGAAGACACAGUCCGGGGGGGUUCCCAUUAGAAAUCAACUGGUGGAAGGUUCCCUUCUCGAACUGUUCAACACAUUUUCACUGCACAAAUGUACACAACUCUUGUAAUGAGACACAUUACUAAAACAUGUUUUUGACAGAAACUGUAGUUUUCCACCAAAAUAAAAGAUCCACUGGUUUCAGUCAUAAAGGUACAAGGGUUUGUCUUGUACGUGCUGAAAAAAAUAUGC